Molecule: ribosomal RNA, 491 nt
Filed under: uncultured bacterium
Lineage: Bacteria
Description: partial 16S ribosomal RNA
Rfam family: Bacterial small subunit ribosomal RNA
Source: RNAcentral
AGUGAACGCUGGCGGUAGGCCUAACACAUGCAAGUCGAACGGCAGCACAGUAAGAGCUUGCUCUUACGGGUGGCGAGUGGCGGACGGGUGAGGAAUACAUCGGAAUCUACUUUUUCGUGGGGGAUAACGUAGGGAAACUUACGCUAAUACCGCAUACGACCUACGGGUGAAAGCAGGGGAACUUCGGACCUUGCGCGAUUGAAUGAGCCGAUGUCGGAUUAGCUAGUUGGCGGGGUAAAGGCCCACCAAGGCGACGAUCCGUAGCUGGUCUGAGAGGAUGAUCGGCCACAAGGGAACUGAGACACGGGCCAGACCCCUACGGGAGGAAGCAGGGGGGAAUAUUGGAAAAGGGGGGCAAGCCUGAUCCAGCCAUCCCGGGGGGGUGAAGAAGGCCUUCGGGUUGUAAAGCCCUUUUUUUGGGAAAAAAAAACAGCAGGUUAAGACCCCCCUGUUCGGACGGUACCCAAAGAAUAAGCACCGGCUAACUUCGU